UGAACGCUGGCGGUAGGCCUACCACAUGCAAGUCGAACGGCAGCACAGUAAGAGCUUGCUCUUACGGGUGGCGAGUGGCGGACGAGUGAGGAAUACAUCGGAAUCUACUUUUUCGUGGGGGAUAACGUAGGGAAACUUACGCUAAUACCGCAUACGACCUACGGGUGAAAGCAGGGGAUCUUCGGACCUUGCGCGAUUGAAUGAGCCGAUGUCGGAUUAGCUAGUUGGCGGGGUAAAGGCCCACCAAGGCGACGAUCCGUAGCUGGUCUGAGAGGAUGAUCAGCCACACUGGAACUGAGACACGGUCCAGACUCCUACGGGAGGCAGCAGUGGGGAAUAUUGGACAAUGGGCGCAAGCCUGAUCCAGCCAUACCGCGUGGGUGAAGAAGGCCUUCGGGUUGUAAAGCCCUUUUGUUGGGAAAGAAAAGCAGCAGGUUAAUACCCCGCUGUUCUGACGGUACCCAAAGAAUAAGCACCGGCUAACUUCGUG
RNAcentral lists this ribosomal RNA (490 nucleotides) under uncultured bacterium. RNAcentral describes it as "partial 16S ribosomal RNA". It matches the Rfam family "Bacterial small subunit ribosomal RNA", at positions 30 to 507 of the family's 1533-position model. The record is from RNAcentral.